UGGGGAAUAUUGCACAAUGGGCGCAAGCCUGAUGCAGCCAUGCCGCGUGUGUGAAGAAGGCCUUCGGGUUGUAAAGCACUUUCAGCGAGGAGGAAGGUGGUGAACUUAAUACGUUCAUCAAUUGACGUUACUCGCAGAAGAAGCACCGGCUAACUCCGUGCCAGCAGCCGCGGUAAUACGGAGGGUGCAAGCGUUAAUCGGAAUUACUGGGCGUAAAGCGCACGCAGGCGGUUUGUUAAGUCAGAUGUGAAAUCCCCGGGCUCAACCUGGGAACUGCAUUUGAAACUGGCAAGCUAGAGUCUCGUAGAGGGGGGUAGAAUUCCAGGUGUAGCGGUGAAAUGCGUAGAGAUCUGGAGGAAUACCGGUGGCGAAGGCGGCCCCCUGGACGAAGACUGACGCUCAGGUGCGAAAAGCGUGGGGAGCAAACAGGAUUAGAUACCCCUGGUAGUCCACGCUGUAAAACGAUGUCGAUUUUGGAGGUUGUGCCCUUGAGGCGUGGCUUCCGGAGCUAACGCGUUAAAUCGACCGCCUGGGGAGUACGGCCGCAAGGUUAAAACUCAAAUGAAUU
Molecule: ribosomal RNA, 568 nt
Filed under: uncultured bacterium
Lineage: Bacteria
Description: partial 16S ribosomal RNA
Rfam family: Bacterial small subunit ribosomal RNA
Source: RNAcentral